GUACCAUGAUGGGAGAAAGACAUAAUAGACGAGAUCACGGGACGAAAAAAGACCAUGCGACAAAGAUCCCAGUGCUUGUUGGGGUCAAAGGCUGAAGGCUGGUGAGUAGUGACCUGAGUGAGAGGCCGGGGUGACAUCUGACCUCUAACUGGGUGUGCGGCUGACCCUAGAGGAUACAGCUCAACAAUGGGAGGCACGUGCCUUGGCCUUGUCACCAUGGAGGAGACGCAGUUGUUUACCAAAGGUUGGCUCAAAACGGUCUGCCUACCUGAAACAAUGAUCAAAGAGGAUUUCACACUGUGGCUUAAGGUAAUGAUCACUGCACAAGAGAAGAAAUGUUGCCAUGUGACAGUUUUGCUUAAUCUUUCUAUGCCUGAGUGUUACAAGUCAAAACAGUUAGUGAUUGGUUAAAAGAAGAAAAGGGGAAGAUUAUUGAAUUACAGUCCUGAAUAAGGGCCAACAGGUGCAGUCCACCUGGAAGAAAACGUGUUUCACACUUUAUACUUUGCCUCUUUGAUGCUGUGCAAGCUGCACACUCACUACCACCCUGAUCCUGCAACCAU
This is a long non-coding RNA of Seriola aureovittata, 563 nucleotides long. RefSeq lists it as uncharacterized. NCBI's taxonomy places the organism in Eukaryota, Metazoa, Chordata, Actinopteri, Carangiformes, Carangidae. The record is from RefSeq and is a predicted model, not a curated record. The transcript is spliced from 3 exons.